CCUACGGGUGGCUGCAGUGAGGAAUAUUGGUCAAUGGCCGGAAGGCUGAACCAGCCAAGUCGCGUGAGGGACGACUGCCCUAUGGGUUGUAAACCUCUUUUAUAAGGGAAGAAUAAAUGCUACGUGUAGCAUGAUGCCUGUACCUUAUGAAUAAGCAUCGGCUAACUCCGUGCCAGCAGCCGCGGUAAUACGGAGGAUGCGAGCGUUAUCCGGAUUUAUUGGGUUUAAAGGGUGCGUAGGCGGUUUUUUAAGUUAGUGGUUAAACGUCGGGGCUUCACCUUGAUUUGCCAUUAAUACUGUAAGACUCGAGUUCAGACGAGGUAGGCGGAAUAAGUUAAGUAGCGGUGAAAUGCUUAGAUAUAACUUAGAACUCCGAUUGCGAAGGCAGCCUACUAAACUGCCACUGACAUUGAUGCUCGAAAGUGUGGGUAUCAAACAGGAUUAGAUACCCUAGUAGUC
Molecule: ribosomal RNA, 459 nt
Filed under: uncultured bacterium
Lineage: Bacteria
Description: partial 16S ribosomal RNA
Rfam family: Bacterial small subunit ribosomal RNA
Source: RNAcentral